Molecule: ribosomal RNA, 481 nt
Filed under: uncultured organism
Description: bacterial SSU rRNA
Rfam family: Bacterial small subunit ribosomal RNA
Source: RNAcentral
GACGAACGCUGGCGGCGUGCUUAACACAUGCAAGUCGAACGAAGCACCCCUGAACGAGGUUUCGGCCAAGGGAAGGGAAUGCUUAGUGGCGGACUGGUGAGUAACGCGUGAGGAACCUGCCUUUCAGAGAGGGACAACAGUUGGAAACGACCGCUAAUACCUCAUGAAAUAUCGGUGUCGCAUGGCACUGGUAUCAAAGAUUUAUCGCUGAAAGAUGGCCUCGCGUCCGAUUAGAUAGUUGGUGAGGUAACGGCCCACCAAGUCGACGAUCGGUAGCCGGACUGAGAGGUUGACCGGCCACAUUGGGACUGAGAUACGGCCCAGACUCCUACGGGAGGCAGCAGUGGGGAAUAUUGGGCAAUGGACGCAAGUCUGACCCAGCAACGCCGCGUGAAGGAAGAAGGCUUUCGGGUUGUAAACUUCUUUGACAGGGGAAGAGUAGAAGACGGUACCCUGAAAACAAGCCACGGCUAACUACGUG